Molecule: ribosomal RNA, 253 nt
Filed under: uncultured bacterium
Lineage: Bacteria
Description: partial 16S ribosomal RNA
Rfam family: Bacterial small subunit ribosomal RNA
Source: RNAcentral
UACGGAGGGGGCUAGCGUCGUUCGGAAUUACUGGGCGUAAAGCGCACGUAGGCGGCUUUGUAAGUUAGAGGUGAAAGCCCGGAGCUCAACUCCGGAAUUGCCUUUAAGACUGCAUCGCUUGAACAUCGGAGAGGUAAGUGGAAUUCCGAGUGUAGAGGUGAAAUUCGUAGAUAUUCGGAAGAACACCAGUGGCGAAGGCGGCUCACUGGUCCGGUACUGACGCUGAGGUGCGAAAGCGUGGGGAGCAAACAGG